AUGAAUCAGUCUAGAUCUAGAUCAGAUGGUGGUGGUGACGAAACCUUAUCUCAAGACCGUAAUCAUUUGUGAAAAUGGGAGAAGAUGGCAGCAAGAGCAUCUCCACAGAGAAGAGGCCUGAGAACUCGAUGAAGAUUAUCGGCUUAUGAGAGGACCAUAAUCUUUUAGGCUCCCCUAGAGAAAUAACAUCAGAAGAACUGCAACAGUGGUUAGAUGGGGUCAACAAACAACUAGCAUCUCAGCCUGACUCGAGAAAUGGAAACAAAUUACAGAGACUCAGAAGUCCCCAGAGAAAGUUCAAAUGAAUAUUCUCUUCUAGCAUAGUUGAACACCUUUCGGGGCACAGGAAAUGCAACUCAAAGUGGACAAAAUGGGAAUCAAAAUUGGAGAGCUGUGAGUCGAACAAACUCGAACAGUGGAGAGUUUCGGUUUAGUUUGGAAAUCCACAUAAAUCAUGAAAAUAGAGGAUCUGAAAUUCAUGGAGAUUAUACAAACAUUCCACUUUCAGAUAGUAACAGAGAUCAUAUUACAAAUAGGCAACAAAGGUCAUCUAGUCCUGUGGCUAGGCGAACAAGAAGCCAAACCUCAGUGAAUUUCAAUGGUGGUAGUUCCAACAUUCUAAGGACUAGGCUUGCUUCAAGGGGGAAAAAUUCAGCUGAAGGAUCUUUCUCAACAGUAGGAAGAUUAAAAAAUGGAACUGGGGGAUCAGCUGGCAUUCCCAGAGCUAGUGCUUCACGCACUAAUUUCAGUAGUCACACAAACCAGUCGGGUGGCAGCUAACUCAGGCAAAGGGAGGCACAACAGUUUAAAGCAGCACAUGUUUGGGAAAAUGGGGCUAGAUAUAAUGUUACAGUGAGAAAUACAAACCAAAGAUUAGGGCCAAUAAGAUCUACUAUAAGUAGCCGAAGCUGUUCACCAAUUCAGAGACACAGUGGCACUGUUUGUCAUAAUUCACAAAGGGAAAGUAGACCAGUACAGCAAACCACUAGAAGAUCUGUCAGGAGGAGAGGUAUAACUCAAGUCUUUUUAGAGCAAGAUAGAGAACACAGAGGUACUGCAUAUACCCCAUUCUCUAAUUCAAGACUUAUGUCAAGAAUAACAGUAGAAGAAGAAUCCAGCAGAUCCUCAACUGCUGUACUACGACAUCCAACAAUCACACUGGACCUUCAAGUGAGAAGGAUCCAUCCCGGAGAAAAUAGAGAUCAGGACAGUAUUGCAAACAGAACUCAUCCAGAGUAGGGCUAACAGAACAUACAGUCACUAUUCAAAGCAAUAGUGGGGGCUUCUGCCGAAUCAUUUCUCGUUUAGAGCGGUCACGUAUUCAAACCUAUGUUAGUACCAUAAUUCUUCCUAGGAUUUCUGAGAACGAGCUUGUUGAGCCAUCAUCAGUGGCUCUUCGGUCAAUCUUAAGGCAGAUUAUGACUGGGUCUGGAGAAUCUAUUAACCAAAGAGCAGACUGACAAUCUUUCCACCCAGCGCUAGAGCAUAACAGUAUUGAUAGUGAACCAGGUAAAAUCUGUAGUGUUUGUAUCAGUGACCACAUAACUGGAAACAAGCUCAGGCAAUUACCUUGCAGGCAUGAAUUUCAUAUUCAUUGUACUGACCGAUGGCUCUCAGAGAAUUUCACUUGUCCGAUCUGUCAGCAGCCUGUUUUAGGGUCCAACAUAGCAAACAAUGGGU
This 1680-nucleotide long non-coding RNA is filed under the name Homo sapiens (human). RNAcentral's name for it is "non-protein coding lnc-SLC25A15-7:1". Lineage: Eukaryota; Metazoa; Chordata; Mammalia; Primates; Hominidae. The record is from RNAcentral.